This 352-nucleotide transfer-messenger RNA is filed under the name Firmicutes bacterium HGW-Firmicutes-2. It matches the Rfam family "transfer-messenger RNA". From Rfam's summary of the family: Bacterial tmRNA, also known as 10Sa RNA or SsrA, is named for its dual tRNA and mRNA-like properties. Its role is to liberate the mRNA from a stalled ribosome. Lineage: Bacteria; Bacillati; Bacillota. The record is from RNAcentral. RNAcentral also lists the same sequence under 1 other name.
GGGGGUGUACAGGUUUCGACGGGGAUCACUGCAGUGAAGGAAGCCAUCCGUAGACACCGGAGCUACGUUAAAAGCUGGUAAAAUUAAAUUAAACGCUGAAGAUAAUUUAGCUUUCGCAGCUUAGGCUGCGGUGUCCUUCCUAGGCAACUCGCCACUUAGGGUCUGGGCAACGAUUGGGCGAGGAACUUUUCUACCAAUGCUUUGAGGUAGUAAAAGAACCUAAUUAAGCUACUAAAACCAUGAGCCUGUCAUUAGGCGCUUGGCAGAGGGAAUGUCAAAUUAAUGACUCUGAUGGGAGAAACUUUCAUGAACGGGUUUUCGGACAGGGGUUCGAUUCCCCUCACCUCCACUA